Molecule: long non-coding RNA, 299 nt
Organism: Aphis gossypii (cotton aphid)
Lineage: Eukaryota; Metazoa; Arthropoda; Insecta; Hemiptera; Aphididae
Exons: 2
Source: RefSeq, a predicted model, not a curated record
GCGACGAAAAAGUUCUGCGUUUCUGUACCUGCGCCAAAGGGCAAAACAAAAAACAUGACAAUGGGAAAACAUACACACACGUCACAUACGACAAGCAGCUGGGCGACGCCGGUUGAUCAUUGAUCCCUCGCCCACGUCCAUUAAAGUAAUGUUUGCUUUUGCCACCUGUCAACCAGAUAUCAUAAAUCCCGACGUCUGAAUGUAUCCAUUAAAAGGAAAAAAACUUGAAAACCUAAAGGGUCACGUCGUCGGUCAUUAUUAUUUUAUUAUCAUUAUUAUUACAUUGUUAUUAUUGAGAA